CCUACGGGAGGCAGCAGUGGGGAAUCUUGCGCAAUGGGCGAAAGCCUGACGCAGCCAUGCCGCGUGAAUGAUGAAGGUCUUAGGAUUGUAAAAUUCUUUCACCGGGGACGCGGUACCCGGAGAAGAAGCCCCGGCUAACUUCGUGCCAGCAGCCGCGGUAAUACGAAGGGGGCUAGCGUUGCUCGGAAUUACUGGGCGUAAAGGGAGCGUAGGCGGAUAGUUUAGUCAGAGGUGAAAGCCCAGGGCUCAACCUUGGAAUUGCCUUUGAUACUGGCUAUCUUGAGUACGGAAGAGGUAUGUGGAACUCCGAGUGUAGAGGUGAAAUUCGUAGAUAUUCGGAAGAACACCAGUGGCGAAGGCGACAUACUGGUCCGUACUGACGCUGAGGCUCGAAAGCGUGGGGAGCAAACAGGAUUAGAUACCCUUGUAGUC
This 432-nucleotide ribosomal RNA is filed under the name uncultured bacterium. RNAcentral's name for it is "partial 16S ribosomal RNA". It matches the Rfam family "Bacterial small subunit ribosomal RNA", at positions 338 to 795 of the family's 1533-position model. The record is from RNAcentral.